GGCUUCGCCUGUUUAACAAAAACAUAGUUUAAAGAAAAAGAUUUUAGAUAGAUUCUGCUCAGUGAUUAAAUUUUAAAUAGCUGCAGUAAAUUAACUGUACUAAGGUAGCGUAAUAAAUUGCUUUAUAAUUGAAAGCUUGAAUGAAAGAAAUAAUGUGAAAUAAACUUUUUAAAAUAAAAUAGUAUAAAUUAAUAUUUAAGUGAAAAAUCUUAAAUUAAAUCAAAAGACAAGAAGACCCUUUAGAACUUAACAAAUAAGUCUAGCUUUACUUGAUCUAUUUGCUAAAUUGGGGAGAUUUUUAAAUAAAUAAAUCUUUAAAUAUAAGUAAAACGAUAUUAAUCAAGUUAAAUUAUCCAAAUAUGAAAUAAAACAAGUUACCUAAGGGAUAACAGCGCAAAAUUUUUGAAAAGUUCUCAUUUACAAAAUAUAUUGCGACCUCGAUGUUGGAUUAAGAAUAAUCUAUAAAGAAAAAUUUAUAGGAAUUGGUCUGUUCGCC
RNAcentral lists this ribosomal RNA (496 nucleotides) under Bemisia tabaci. RNAcentral describes it as "partial 16S ribosomal RNA". The record is from RNAcentral. Lineage: Eukaryota; Metazoa; Arthropoda; Insecta; Hemiptera; Aleyrodidae.